This is a non-coding RNA of Gossypium hirsutum (cotton), 308 nucleotides long. Lineage: Eukaryota; Viridiplantae; Streptophyta; Magnoliopsida; Malvales; Malvaceae. The record is from Rfam.
AAUUGUUCCAAAAGAAUUAAAAAUCCCGCCGUCAAAUCCCAGGGCUCAACCUUGGACAGGCGGUGGGAACUACCAAGCUAGAGUACGGUAGGGGUAGAGGGAAUUUCCAGUGGAACGGUGAAAUACGUAGAGAUCGAAAAAAACACCAACGGUGAAAGCACUCUGCUGGGCCAACACUGACACUGAGGUGCGAAAGCUAGGGGAGCGAAUGAGAUUAGAUACCCCAGUAGUCCUAGCCAUAAACGAUGGAUACUAGGUGUUGUGCAUAUCGACCCGUGCAGUGCUGUAGCUAAUACGUUAAGUAUCCG